This 380-nucleotide ribosomal RNA is filed under the name uncultured eukaryote. Its description in RNAcentral is "partial 18S ribosomal RNA". It matches the Rfam family "Eukaryotic small subunit ribosomal RNA", at positions 592 to 976 of the family's 1831-position model. The record is from RNAcentral.
CAAUAGCGUAUAUUAAAGUUGUUGCAGUUAAAAAGCUCGUAGUUGGAUUUGUGGCGUACGGUGUGUUCCGGGCACUUGUUGUCUGAGUAACCUGCUGUUGCCAUCCUUGGGUGGAACCUGUGUGGCAUUAGGUUGUCGUGCAGGGGAUGCCCAUCACUUACUGUGAAAAAAUUAGAGUGUUCAAAGCAGGCUUAUGCCGUUGAAUAUAUUAGCAUGGAAUAAUGAGAUAGGACUUUUUUGCUAUUUUGUUGGUUUGCGCAAGAAGGUAAUGAUUAAUAGGGACAGUUGGGGGUAUUCGUAUUCCAUUGUCAGAGGUGAAAUUCUUGGAUUUUUGGAAGACGAACUACUGCGAAAGCAUUUACCAAGGAUGUUUUCAUUAA